Molecule: ribosomal RNA, 250 nt
Filed under: uncultured bacterium
Lineage: Bacteria
Also listed under: 1 other name
Description: partial 16S ribosomal RNA
Rfam family: Bacterial small subunit ribosomal RNA
Source: RNAcentral
UACGUAGGGAGCAAGCGUUGUCCGGAAUUACUGGGCGUAAAGGGUGCGUAGGCGGCUAUGCAAGUCAGAUGUGAAAUCCCCGGGCUUAACUCGGGUGGUGCAUUUGAAACUGCGUGGCUUGAGUGCAGGAGAGGAAAGUGGAAUUCCUAGUGUAGCGGUGGAAUGCGUAGAUAUUAGGAGGAACACCAGUGGCGAAGGCGACUUUCUGGACUGUAACUGACGCUGAGGCACGAAAGCGUGGGGAGCAAAC